RNAcentral lists this transfer RNA (72 nucleotides) under Murinocardiopsis flavida. RNAcentral describes it as "Nocardiopsis sp. 14-Be-013 tRNA". It matches the Rfam family "tRNA". From Rfam's summary of the family: Transfer RNA (tRNA) molecules are approximately 80 nucleotides in length. Their secondary structure includes four short double-helical elements and three loops (D, anti-codon, and T loops). Lineage: Bacteria; Bacillati; Actinomycetota; Actinomycetes; Streptosporangiales; Nocardiopsidaceae. The record is from Rfam by way of RNAcentral.
CGGGGCGUGGUACAGAGGUCGUUGCACAGCACUGCUAAUGCUGAUCACGCCGGUUCGAAUCCGGCCCCCCGG